UACACGUGGAAGAACUAAGGAGC
Molecule: non-coding RNA, 23 nt
Filed under: Cricetulus griseus (Chinese hamster)
Lineage: Eukaryota; Metazoa; Chordata; Mammalia; Rodentia; Cricetidae
Source: RNAcentral